UUGGGAAUCUUGCACAAUGGGCGAAAGCCUGAUGCAGCGACGCCGCGUGCGGGAUGAAGGCCUUCGGGUUGUAAACCGCUUUCAGCAGGGACGAGGCCGCAAGGUGACGGUACCUGCAGAAGAAGCCCCGGCUAACUACGUGCCAGCAGCCGCGGUAAUACGUAGGUGGCGAGCGUUAUCCGGUUUUACUGGGCGUAAAGGGCGUGUAGGCGGCUAGAUAAGUGUGAUGUUUAAAUCCAAGGCUUAACCUUGGGGUUCAUUACAAACUGUUUGGCUUGAGUGCUGGAGAGGGAAGUGGAAUUACUAGUGUAGCGGUAAAAUGCGUGGAUAUUAGGGGGAACAACGGUGGCGAAGGCGGGUAGCUGGACGGUAACUGACGCUGGGGGGCGAAAGCGUGGGGGGGAAACAGG
Molecule: ribosomal RNA, 410 nt
Filed under: Verrucomicrobiota bacterium
Lineage: Bacteria; Pseudomonadati; Verrucomicrobiota
Description: Verrucomicrobia bacterium partial 16S ribosomal RNA
Rfam family: Bacterial small subunit ribosomal RNA
Source: RNAcentral